UGCAAGUCGAGGGAGGAGCCUUCGGGCUGAGACCGGCACACGGGUGCGUAACGCGUAUACAAUCUGCCUUUCACAUAGGGAUAGCCCGAAGAAAUUUGGAUUAAUACCUAAUGGUAUAUAGGAGCGGCAUCGUUUUUAUAUUAAAGCUACGGUGGUGAAAGAUGAGUAUGCGUUCUAUUAGCUAGUUGGAGAGGUAACGGCUCCCCAAGGCGACGAUAGAUGGGGGUUCUGAGAGGGAUGUCCCCCACACUGGUACUGAGAUACGGACCAGACUCCUACGGGAGGCAGCAGUGAGGAAUAUUGGACAAUGGUCGGAAGACUGAUCCAGCCAUGCCGCGUGCAGGAUGAAGGUCCUAUGGAUCGUAAACUGCUUUUGUAAGGGAAGAAUAAGGGGUACGUGUACUUUGAUGACGGUACCUUACGAAUAAGCAUCGGCUAACUCCGUGCCAGCAGCCGCGGUAAUACGGAGGAUGCGAGCGUUAUCCGGAAUCAUUGGGUUUAAAGGGUCCGUAGGCGGGCUAAUAAGUCAGAGGUGAAAGCGUUCAGCUCAACUGAGCAACUGCCUUUGAAACUGUUAGUCUUGAAUGAUUGUGAAGUAGUUGGAAUGUGUAGUGUAGCGGUGAAAUGCUUAGAUAUUACACAGAACACCGAUAGCGAAGGCAUAUUACUAACAAUUUAUUGAUGCUGAUGGACGAAAGCGUGGGGAGCGAACAGGAUUAGAUACCCUGGUAGUCCACGCUGUAAACGAUGGAUACUAGCUGUUUGGAGCAAUCUGAGUGGCUAAGCGAAAGUGAUAAGUAUCCCA
Molecule: ribosomal RNA, 805 nt
Filed under: uncultured Bacteroidota bacterium
Lineage: Bacteria; Pseudomonadati; Bacteroidota
Description: bacterial SSU rRNA
Rfam family: Bacterial small subunit ribosomal RNA
Source: RNAcentral